UACGUAGGGUGCGAGCGUUGUCCGGAAUUAUUGGGCGUAAAGAGCUCGUAGGCGGUCUGUCGCGUCGGUCGUGAAAACUUGGGGCUUAACCCUGAGCUUGCGGUCGAUACGGGCAUGACUGGAGUUCGGCAGGGGAGACUGGAAUUCCCAGUGUAGCGGUGAAAUGCGUAGAUAUUGGGAAGAACACCUGAGGCGAAGGCGGGAUGCUGGGCCGACACUGACGCUGAGGCGCGAAAGCCAGGGGAGCGAACGGG
This 254-nucleotide ribosomal RNA is filed under the name uncultured bacterium. Its description in RNAcentral is "partial 16S ribosomal RNA". It matches the Rfam family "Bacterial small subunit ribosomal RNA", at positions 524 to 776 of the family's 1533-position model. The record is from RNAcentral.